This 460-nucleotide ribosomal RNA is filed under the name uncultured marine eukaryote. RNAcentral describes it as "SSU rRNA". It matches the Rfam family "Eukaryotic small subunit ribosomal RNA", at positions 612 to 1070 of the family's 1831-position model. The record is from RNAcentral.
GUUGCAGUUAAAAAGCUCGUAGUUGGAUUUCUGGUCGCGCCGCCCGGUUGGCCUCGAAAGGGGUACGUACUGGGGCGCGCGUGGCCAUCCUCGGGGGAAGGCCGUCUGGCAUUAGGUUGUCGGGCGGUCGACGCUCGUCGUUUACUGUGAACAAAUUAGAGUGUUCAAAGCAGGCUUAGGCCGUUGAAUACAUUAGCAUGGAAUAAUGAGAUAGGACUUUGGUGGUCUAUUUUGUUGGUUUGCACGCCGAAGUAAUGAUUAAUAGGGGCGGUUGGGGGUAUUCGUAUUCAAUUGUCAGAGGUGAAAUUCUUGGAUUUAUGGAAGACGAACUACUGCGAAAGCAUUUACCAAGGAUGUUUUCAUUAAUCAAGAACGAAAGUUAGGGGAUCGAAGAAGAUUAGAUACCUUCGUAGUCUUAACCAUAAACCAUGCCGACUCGGGAUGGGCGGUCGCUUGUUCA